Molecule: long non-coding RNA, 26408 nt
Filed under: Capsicum annuum
Lineage: Eukaryota; Viridiplantae; Streptophyta; Magnoliopsida; Solanales; Solanaceae
Description: long non-coding RNA (CANN_LNC020227)
Source: RNAcentral
UUGUAAACUGGAGUUGGUGGUGAUGGUGAUUUGUAGACUGAGUGUGUAGAGAGUAGUAUGACUCCUUAGGUGGUGGUGGUGAAUUGUAAAUGGGAGUUGGUGGUGGCAGAGACUUAUAAACUGGUGCGGGAUUGAUAUAGCUCCUUGGGUGUGGAGGCGAUAUGUAGACUAGGGUUGGUGGAGGUGGUGACUUGUUGACUGGGUGUGUGGAGGGUAGUAAGGCUCCUUAGUAGUGGUGGCGACUUGUAAACUGUAGUCGGUAGAGGCGGUGACUUGUAGAUUGGGGUAUGAGGAGGGUAGUAUGGCUCCUUAAGUGGUUGUGGUGACUUGUAAACUGGAGUCGGCGAAGGUGGCGACUUAUAGACUGGGUGUUUGGAGGGUAGUAAGGCUCUUUGGGUGGGGGUGGCAACGUAUAAACUUGAGUUAGUGGAAGUGGUGAUUUGUAGACUGGGUGUGUGGGGGAUAGUAUGGCUCCUUAGGUAGUAGUGGUGAUUGGUAAAUAGGAGCCGGUGGAAAUGGCGACUUAUAGACUGGGUGUGUGGAGGGUAGUAAGGCUCUUUUGGUGGGGGUGACGACUUGUAAACUGGAGUUGAUGGAGGUGGCAAUUUGUAGACUGGGGUGUGUGGAGGAUAGUAUGGCUCCUUGGGUGGUGAUGGUGGUGACUAGUAAAGCGGAGUUGAAGGUGAUGGUGAUUUAUAAAGUGGUGCAGGAUGAUAAGGUGUUGGUGAAGGAUGGUAUGGCUCUUUUGGUGAUGGUGGAGAUAAAUAUUGAUAAUUUGCUGAGCUUUGGGAAGCCAAGCAAAGUGACACAAAAACCACUAAAAGAGUGGAAAAUAGAGAGGCCAUUUCUCCCAAAAAGAAACAAAGGAGAGAAGUUGUUGUCCCUUUAAGCUGCACUCAAAGCCCUUUGUAUAGCUUUCAUUUAGAAGGUAUAAGGCUAAAGUUAUGUAUUUUUAAUUAGUUUUGUCAUGUUGUCGGUUCAAUUUGACCUUUGUUGGUAUACUUUUUUUUUUUUGUUGGAUAGAAGGUGCAAGCUAAGCAAAGAAAUUAACUACUAUGGCAGCUAUACUAUUUAUGAUGCAAUAAUUCAAAAAAAAAUACGUGGAUCCCACAACUUCCCACAAGAUUUUAGUUAUAGGAAUCUGAGCACUUUUUUUUUACACUUAGGGUGUGUAUGGUACGAUGGAAAAUAUUUUCUGAAAAAUGUUGGUUGUAGUAAAAAAUAUUUUCUAAGAUAAUUCAUUUUUUCCUAUUUGAGGGAAAAUGACUUCCCUCAUGGACCAAGGGAAGUUAUUUUUCGGAAAAUGAUAAAUGUGACUUAUGCCCCCAUCCUCACCCCUCUUCCCACCCCAACAACACUCAUAUUCACAUAACUCAAAAAAUUCACAUUUUUAAAAAAUUUAUUUUACUCAAAAUAUUUUUCACUGUGCUUUGCUUCAAUUUUUCACUGCUUGAAAUAAAAAAUAGUGAAGCCCGACUUUUUUUCAUUUCCAAUGUUCGUUGAAUGUAUUGUUAUUUUCAUAUGCAUAGAGGAAGACUUACCUAUGUUACUUUUGCUAAUUGCAUAUUUUAUUUUGUCAUCGAUGUUACUUCUUUCACGAGGUUGAAUAAGCUUAUCGUCCCGUUAUAUUUCUAUUGAUUGUAGUAUCUUGAGAUUGUCCUGAAAAAAUGUUGAAAAGUGUCUCCUAUAUUUGCUAAUUAAUAGUUGCUUAAAUUUAGUGAUUGUAAUAUUUUAGUAUUCGAUAUUGAUAUUAUUUAUUAUGCUUAAAUUAGUUCUUACAAAUUGUUGAGUUGCUAGAUGCACUGAUAUACUAGUUAACAGUUAGUAGUAUUUUCUAAAAAAAAAAAUUUCACUCACCAAUCAAACACUAGAAAAUAUUUUUCUAAAAAAUAUUUUCUACUCACCAACCAAACACCAUAAAAUAUUUUUCGAAAAUAUUUUUCACUCACCAACCAAACAUGAGAAAAUAAAUAGAAAACCAACUUAUUUUCCAAGAAAACAUUUUUCAUGAAAAAUAUUUUCCAUCGUACCAAACACACCCUUAGUAUUUGAAGAAUUCAAUUCUUGUGGAUUCUGACAGCUUAACUAACCUUCACUUAAGUGCUGAGAAAUUUAAAACAAUAUGUAUACAGUAUCAUAUAUUCUUUAAAAGAAAUGAUAUGUCAUUGUUAAAAGAGUUUAAUCUAGAGAAAACUGUGCAUGUGACUCGCUUUCAUUACCAACUAAAUCAAUUAUGUUCUUUCCUUUUGUGUAGUAGAGCUAAAAGAAACAUCAACCGAUUAUUUUGUAGCUCAAUGUUGAAAACUUAUGUGGUUCAAUAUGAUAUCUCUGAAAAUUUUACAGCUUGUUUGAUAGCUGCUGCCUAAUAAUGUAUUGUAUCGUGUUGCUAGUUUAAAUAUAAUGUGUAUUUUGAUUGUUUCUUAAAUUUUACUGUAUCAUUAAAUCUAUAACUAGAUAGCAAUAAAAAGUCUCAUUUGGUGUAACGACCUAUUUGAUGUGAUCGCGUUGUUACCUUUUUUCCCCUUUUUAUUUAUUAUUUAAUUAUCUUAAUGCUCCUUUAUCCUAUAUUUUUAUAGUAACUCUACCUCACAUUUUUCUAUUUUCCUUCUAGGCUUAUCCUUGAACUGUUAUAUGAAGGAUGCAAUGUAAUGACGAAAAAGGUAUAAUAAAUCCAAAUAUCGUAACAUUCACUAAAAUAAUAAAGUACAUACAAUACAACAUGAUACUUUAUGAAACAAUAUCAUUCCAAGUUAAGGACUUGAUUAGAAUGUGCAUGUUAAGUGUCUGAUGGGUUACUUAAGUAUAAAGUUCAAGUCCAUAUAAAAAGAUAAACCCUAAUUAUAAUGCCUUCAUCAUGGCUGGUCGACAGUAGUCUACUACUGAAUUUCCUCCUUUGAACCCAAAUUCUAUUGUGAAUAUCCAAACCCUACCGUUGGAUAAAUCUUUUGUUGAAUCAAUCAGUACAACAAAGUUGGACACCGUCUCUCGCAAAGAGGUGGUCAUGGUGGAAGGAAUCCCGAAUGUCACACUGAAAAAAGUGGAUACAGUGAAUAAAAUGGAGAAUUUGCAAUUUGUUGUCAUAGGUAAAUUCACUUAAGAAUGGACGGGUAUAGAAGAAUUAAGGAAUAUUAUCCCACAGCAAUGCAACAUUAAUGGUGAUUGUCAAAUUGGAGUAUUCAGAAAUAAACAUAUUUUCAUUCGUUAGACACAGGAGUCGGAUUUUAUUAAUAUCAUCAUCUCAAAGGGAGCUUUUUCCUUGCACUGUAAGGAUGGGUUCUCUUAUUUGAUGCGAACACUCUCACACUUAUCUAUGAUCCCCUUUUCAAAGAAACUUUAGAGACUACAAAGACUUUCGCAUGGAUUUCUUUCCCAAAUCUAUUGCCUACCUAUUAUGUCAAGGAAUGUUUGUUUUCUUUAGCUGCAACAGUGGGAAAGCCUGUCCAACUUGAUCUAGCCACCAUUAAUAGGACUAGACCAAGUUGUGCAAGGAUUAAGGUCUUGGUUGAUCUAAAAGCUGAUUUCUCUAAAUCAGUCCGGAUGGAUAUUGAAAAUGAAGAGUCAGGUAAAUGCAGGACAAUAGUGAAGCGGAUUAAAUUCGACCAUAUUCCUAAGUAUUGUCAUGAAUGCAAUAUGCAAGUUCAUGCUAAGAAUCAAUGUAGAAACUUAGGCACCCCAGAGGAUGCAACAAUGGCAGUAACAGUGGAUAAUAAGGAAUAAAAGAGGCCAGUACAACAUCUUCCUAAAUUCACAAUGCCUUUUGUACACAAAUUUCAAAACGGAAAAGCAUGAGUUCUUUCGAGUGGGAUUGUAGUUGGAGAUCCUACUAACUGGAUGGUUAUUAAAAAUGAUAAGAGGAUAGUUAAUACUUCCCAACAGCCUCUUUUAAUGAUAUAGUUAAUACUUCCCAACAGCCUCUUUCAAUGACAAAUAACCAAUUUGCUGCUCUAGCUACCGACGACAAAGAACCUGCUGAAUUAAACAUUUCGACAAAGGAGAGUUCAAACCUUAAGGCAUGUACGGAUGUGUUCCAAAUAAUAAGGAAAAUGAAAAAGUUAAUCUGUGGUCCAAUAAAGAAUCUGCUAAAGAGUGGGUAUCAAGGGAUUUUGGCAAGCUAGGUGAAGUUCCCAAUUCUGUAAUACCUGUACAGCAACAAGGCAGUCAGCAACUAAGUAAUCAACAACAAAGGCAAGAUAGAGAUAAUAAUGCUAAAGAGAAUAAUAAAGAUGGUAAUGGGAUGGAGAAUGAUAUGCAGGUUAAAUCUUUAAUAAAUCAGGAGCAUAAUAUUGAUGAUGGUCAGCAACAAUGCCUCAUAGUCAAAAAGGACAAUCUGCAAUCUAUAGAAGAUGUGCAACCAGAUACCAAGCAAUAGUCAAUGCAGAUUAAUCAAGAUUUUUACAGUGGAAGCUAUGAUAAUGGAGAUAGGUCAGUUGAGGAAAGUGUGGGGAUAACAGUUGUGAUGCAAGGGGAACAAAAUGUGUGUUUAGAAAUAAUGGAGAUUCCAAAACCAGUGCAGAUAGAUGAAUCAUUUAUCGUUACCAAGAGUUCUCCCAACAAAGUAAUACAUGACAUUGUCUCUCAUAGUUUAGGGUACAUUAAAUGCAGUAAUCAAACUCACAUGGCCAAAGGAGUUAAAGAAGUAGAUGUAGAAGAUGAUUCGAAGGAUCAUGCUCCAUCGGAAGCUGAUUUAUCACCAAGACUGAUGAAAAUCUCUAAAAAAGGAUAAAAAAGAAUGUGGAUGGGAGAAAACUCACAACCUACCAGAGUUCAUCCUAAGCGAUCCAAAUCUGCCCUAAAUUAUCAAUGAAAGCACUUAUUUGGAACAUUAGGUCUGUGAAGACACAACAAGAUUUCAAAGACUUCAGAUGCUUAAUAAUUAUCAUAAGUUCACCGGUUUCAGUUUGUUAGAGCCUUUUCAGAAUGUUAGAUAUAAGAGAAGAUUGAAAAUGCAUAGGGCUAUGUCAAACUGCAAUAGCAAGAUUUGGUUUUUCUCCUCUCAAGAUGUGAUAACAACUGUUAUUAAAGACACUGAUCAUCAGCUACAGUUCACUUGCAGGAGUAGGCUCAGAGCUUAGAUUUAUUACUCUUGUUUAUGCAAAGUGUUCUAAAGAGGAGAGAUUAAUCUUAUGGAAGGAUAUUUAUCAAGUUGCUUCUGGAAUUUCAAAACCUUGGAUGCUAGGAGGAGAUUUAAUGUUGUUUUGAAUUCUGAAGAGAAAAUUGGUGGCCUUCCAAUUCUUGAUGCAGGCCAUGGGGACUUUCAAUCAUGUAUUUCUUAUUGUGAUUUGAUGGAGAUACCUUUUAAAGAAAGUUCUUUCACUUGGUGGAAUGGUAGAGCAGGUAAUGACUGUAUUUUAGAAAGAUUGGAUAGAAUUUUUACUAAUCAACAACAACAACAACAACAACAACAACAACAACAAACCCAGUGUAUUCCCACCUAGUGGGGUCUGGGGGGGUAAGAUGUACGCAGUCCAUACCUCUACCUCUGCUGAAUUUUUACUAAUCAAGAUUUACAAAAUAAGUUCAAUCACAUGAAGGUAGAACAUCUUGCUACUAGUUCAGAUCAUGCUCCCAUGUUGUUGUAUUGUUAUGACAGAGCUAUCAGUUACAAGAAAUCUUUUAGAUUUCUUAAGUUUUGGACUGAUCAUCCUAAGUUCCUAGAAGUAGUAAGGCAGAAUUGGUGUUCUUCAGGUUCUCAGAGUCCAUUCUUAGAUUUCAAAGCAAAGAUUAAGAGAAUUAAAGUUGCUUUGACAAGAUGGAGUAAAGAGACUUCUGGGGAUAUUUUUAAAUAGUUGAUAAUCAGGGAAGAAAUUGUCAAGAUCAAAGAGAAAUUAUUUGAGGAAUGCCCUACGGCUGAUAACAGCGAAGUGUUGCAAAGAGCUCAGUCCGAGCACAAAAUAUAUCUUCGUUUUGAAGAGAUUUUUUGGCAGCAAAAAGCAGGUUAUGACUGGUUUGAGAAUGGUGACAGAAAUAUUAAAUUUUUUCAUAGCACUGUGAAGGGGAGGAGGAAAAGAUUGAAUUUGAAUAGAAUUCAAAUUAAUCAGGGUAUUUGGCUGGAUAAAGAAGAAAAGAUAGCCGCAGAGGUUGUUAUGUUUUAUCAGGACCAAUUUAGACAAGAACAAGAGGCUAAUGUUUUUUCAUAACUGAAUAAUAUACCUAAGAGUAUUUCUGAUGAGCAAAAUAUUGUUUUAAGUCAGUAAGCUGAUCUUGAAGAAGUUAAAAAGGCACUUUUUAGCUUAAAUGAAUAUAGUGCAAGUGGCCCGGAUGGGUUAACAAGUAGGUUCUAUCAGGUUCGCUGGGAUAUUAUUGGUAAUGAUGUUCUUAAUCUGGUGCAAGAUUUCUUAAAAGGUAAUACUCUUCCCAAAUUCAUUAUUCAUACUAAUUUGGUGUUGCUUCCCAAGAAGGAUUUUAUUCAAUUUUUCUCAGAUUUGAGACCAAUUAGUCUUAAGUAAUUUUAUUAAUAAGAUCAUUUCUAGGAUUGUGCAUGACAAAAGUGAACUUCUUUUGCCUAGACUGAUUUCUUUUAAUCAAUCUAAAUUUGUCAAAGAGAGAAGAAUUAUUAAAAAUUUCCUCCUGACUCAAGAGAUAGUUACUGACAUCAGAAAAAUGGGUAAGCCGGCUAAUGUGGUCUUAAAGCUUGAUAUGACUAAGGCUUAUGAUAGGGUUUCCUGGUUUUUCCUGAUGAAGGUUCUAAGAAAAAUAGGGUUCUCAAAAUUGUUUAUGGACUUGUUUUGGAGAUUAUUGUCUAAUAAUUGGUAUUCUAUACUAAUUAAUGGGCGAUCACACGGCUUUUUUCACUCAACUAGGGGAGUAAAACAAAGAAAUCCUUUAUCUCCAGCUUUCUAUUUGAUGAUGCUCAAUAUGUAGGUUAUGAUAUGCCAAAGUGGAGUUCCAAUAUUAAUCAUCUUGCUUAUGCAGAUGACACUAUUAUAUUCGCUGCAGCUAACAGAUACUCUUUGAGAAAGAUUUUUUCAGUGUUACGGGAAUAUGAAACUCAAUCAGGGCAAAAAGUUAAUAAAGAGAAGAAUGCUUUCUACAUGCAUCAGAAUUCAGCUGCAGUUGAUAAACAAAUGGUGGAAGAUUGUGCGGCUAUUUCUAAAGGCCAAUUUCCUUUGAAAUACCUUGAAUGUCCUAUCACUCAUGCUAGAAAAAGAAAGAGUCAUUAUUCAGAGCUAAUUCAGAAGGUUAAGUCAAAAUUACAGGCUUGAAAAGGUAAUAUUCUCUCAUAUGGGGGGAAAGGAGGUCCUUAUCUCUAGUGUUCUUCAAAGUGUUCCUAUACAUAUCCUUUCUGUUGUUGUCCCUCCUAUUUGUGUAUUGAAGGAGCUUCACAGAAUAUUUGCAAAUUUUUUUGGAGUAAUAAGGCCGAUGGAAGAAACAAACACUGGGCUGCUUGGGUAAAGGUGUUUUUACCAAAACAGAAGGCAGUUUGAGUUUUAGAUCGAUGUUUGAGGUAUCUCAAGCCAUGUAUCCUAAGUUCUGGUGGAAGUUCAGAACUCAAAAUACUACUUGGUCCAACUUUAUAUGAGACAAGUAUUGCAAAAAGCAAAUACCUUCACUAGUUUAAUGGAAAGGUGGCUCGCAAGUAAGGAAGCAUAUGUUGCAAAAUAGGGAUCUAGUGGAGCAAUUCUUGUGGUGGAACCUAAAGGAGGUACUUCUACAGUUUGGUAUGAUAAUUGGACUCAACUUGGUCCUCUUUUCAAACACCAGGUAGAGGUCAUUCUUCUUUUCCAGUGAUGGAUAUUGAGGAAUUCAUGUUGGGCUCAGACUGGGAUUUUGAGAAUAUGCAAUAUCAUUUAUCAGAUAAUGUAGUAGAGCAUGUAAGAUUACAUUUGAGGCUUGUACGACAUCCUGGAGAAGGUGACAAGCCCUGGUGGAUUAAAUUUAGUUCUGGCAAGUUCUCGGUUAAAAGUGCUUGGGAAGAACGGAGGAAAAAAACGUUUGUAAUGAGUCAUUUCAGAAGAUCUGGGUAAAAGAGAUUCCUUUCAAAAUUUCUUACUUUGGUUGGAGAGUUUGGACAAAUAGGAUUCCUGUAGCCUCUGUUUUAGCUAAUUGGAAUCCUAACUUGUCUCCUCUUUAUUCAUAUUGUGUUUCAAGAAAUCAUGGAGCACCUCUUUCUAAAAGGUGAAGUGGUUUAUUUCGGUUUGGAUUUAUUACGCCAAUGCUGCAGGUAUUCUGGGGCCCUGGGUUCAAAUUAAACUAUCCAUAAAGAAGUGGUGGGAUAUAAAUGGUAAUUAAAGACAAAGAUUCAUCUUUCAGGUAGUUCCUACUCUCAUUUUGUGGUUUUUACGGAAAAGAAGGAAUGCAUUAGUUCAUGGAGGUUCAUACUCUACAGCCAAGGUUAUUUGGGAUAUUAAUGGUUUAAUUAAGAAAAUUCUCAGAAAGAAGUUUGGUUAUGAUCAGUUACCAUCUAGUUGGCCUCAAAUAGUUGCUUUUUGACUUAUUUAGACCUACAUUUUUAUCUAGAUGGAUAAGAUGGUAUCCCCCACCUAGGGGAUAGUGGAAAUAUAACACUGAUGGAACCUCGAGAGGUAAUCUAGGUCGAAUUUCAGCUGAUUUUUGUGUACGAAAUCAUGUAGGUGAUCUUGUGUAUGCUAAGGGUUUCUCUAUUCCAGAUUCCACUAAUCUGGUUGUUAAAGUCAUUGCUAUAGGAGUUGGUUUACAUUAUUGCUUAGAAAAUCAAAUUGUCAACAUUAUUGUGGAAUCUGAUUCCCUUGUAGUAGUCAACAUGAUUAAUGGAGUGUGGGAAAUUCCUUAGAGUGUGAUAAUGGAGGUCAACUCCAUUAAAGAUAUGAUGGAUUCUUGUUCAGCAAGAGUACAACACUCCUUAGGAAAGGGAAAUACUCUUGCUGAUUAUUUAGCUAACUUGGUUUUUCAUUUUGCAGGUAACUUUGAAUUCAACAGUUUUCAUGAAAUUCCAAGCGCAGGUAGGAAGAUUAUCAAUCUAGACAAACAAGGCAUUCCACAAAUGAGGAUAAGACAGUGUACAUCAACUAAUUCAACAAGGGAUGGAUCGCUACUGCAGAUUACAAAGUGAAUUUACAAACUCUAUUAGCAGUGACUAGUUACUGGUGAAUUUAGUGCAGUCUGAAUUAGUUUCGUUUGGUUAACAUACCAUGCACCUGUGGGAAUUUUUAGGUGUUACAUAGAGUAUAAACCCAGGACUCACUUAUACUAGUUGCUAAUUUCUAGGUAUAGAGUUUAUAAAAAUCAAGCACAAAUUUAGAGGCAUUUCAUAGUCUCAAAUCUGUUGAUGAGGAGAGGAUGGAGUACCCGGGACCUCAAAUUUAGCGGCGGAAGAUAGACAGGGUAUAAUUAUCAAGCAAUACAAUUCUUUUAUACAGAUUCCACUUCAGAGAAGAACAAAAAUAAUCAUUGCCAACUUAUGGAUUGCAAAGUGUCAAAAUACAAAUUUCAGCAUUUGGAGUAACACAAGAAGGCAAGGAGCAAGAUAAGUAUUAAUGGACAGUAGUGGUGAUUAACAUUCACUAAUACUGAUUGAUUUCUAAGUCAUACAAUUGAAAUGGGGGUUAAGGUGAACCUGUUAGUUCUGGAUCCUUGGUGGUGGUAUCAAUCUCCUUGAGGUUUAUUCCGCUAGGAAAAAGAGAGAACAGUGAAAUCAUUUUUUUCAUUUCACAGAUGAGUUUAGAAUAGAAAAAGGGAGGUGACUUACCAUAUCAUCUGCAAUAAAUAUUUAUUGAUUUGGAGCUGUAGAAAUUUAGUUGAAACCAAUUUCAUGAAGUUUGUAAGAGAUUAAAGUGUCUUAGUGAAAUUUGAUGGAUGUUCCAUGGCAAUAAUGGCUUCCACAACUUAAUGCAACAACCAGAUGAGGUUGGAGUAGCAAAGAUUGAAACCAUAGUUGCCUCUCCGUGAUGUCUUUCAGCUUUGAGUUUUAUCCACACAUUCCUUUUCCUGCUUACAUUUUCUGUUUUUGGUCUUUUCAGAUGUCUGGAUAUAUUUGUUGCUUUUGUUUUGGACCCGGGUCUUGCUUAACUUGGGCCAAUUUGUACAUAUCUUUUCUGCUCCUGAAUAAAUUGGGCUCUGGUCCAUCUUCAAUUAAAAAAAAGGAAAAAUGACAUGGACUGACCAGUUUAAAAAAAGGAAAUUUUGCAUAUAUACCGACAUGUUUACUCUUAAUUACCAAAAAUUUCAACAUUUUUCAAAAUCUCCAAAAAUUCCAACAUUUGACCUCUGAUAAUACAAGUUAAUCACAUUAGAUACAUACUGUUGAUAUAUGUAUCUAAUGUGAUUAACUUGUAUCAUACAUUAGAUAUAUGUAGGGUUACAUUAGAUACAUGUAGGGUUACAUUAAAUACAUGUAGGGUUAACUUGUAUCUCAAAAAUAGUCCCAAAUAUGAAAUGUUGGAAUUUAUGUAAUUUUUCAGAAGUAGGGGGAUUUUUAGAAAUUUUGAAAGUUAUGAUGUUUAUUUAUGUAAUUUUUUGUUAAAAAGAAAAAAAAUAGCCCACACUAUGAAAAUAUGGACAAUUGGAGCCAGUAGACCCAAUUUAUUUCCUGUUUUUUCAGUCAUUUGGCCCAAAACUAUUCUCCUUACACAAUUAAGGGGAUUAAAUACUCUUCACAGUAGGCUACUCUUAAAUCACUUUUCUUUUCAAACUAUACUUUCCCAAAAAAAUGUUCACCUCUAUUAUGUGUCGAUCAAUCUACUGUGUUUUGUGAUAACAAUUGAGUUAGUAGGGCACAUGCAGUCUCUAUACCCAAUUGAUACACUUUUGUACCAUAUUGAUACAUGUUUAUACCCAAUUGAUACUCUUUAUACUACAUUGAUACACUUUUAUACUCAAUUGAUACUCUUUUAUACUAGAUUGAUACACUUUUAUACCACGUCGAUACAGUAUGUAUAUUACAUAAAUACAUCUUUUACAGAGGAAAUUUGUGCAAGCAUAUACAGUAACAAUACCAAAUUAAUACAGUAAAUCAAAAUUAGUAAGUACGAACAUAAUUGAUACUCUUUAAAAUUAUAGUAUUAAUAGUACAUAAAGUAACAAAAAAAAAGAUCAAAUCAUCUUUCCAUCAAUUAUUGUUUUGAUUUAGUUCAUUCUUUCUCCUUAACGCUCUUUUAUAUUUCUAACUUCCUCUUCCUACCUUUAUUUUCUCUUCUUUUUUUCUUUCCUUCAUUACUAAGUUAGUUGUAAACACCCAUAUGAUGAAGUAUGUAUUUACUCUUGAGUUGAUGUCAUAUUUAUCCUACUAAGAAAAAUCACAGGUUCUGUAAGGAAUUGUCUAGACAUGGAGUACAUAUAAAAAUUUAUUCUGCCACUUGAAAAAAACCUGUAAAAAACUAAUUAAAUUCAGAUUUUUUGAGAUUUUAUACAAAAUUUAUGAAAUGAGAAAGGUAAAUUGGAGUAUCGAAAAAAGGUAAAGGAACAAAUAUUUAGGAGUUUGAAUGGAAAGGAAACUGGGAAUGAAAAGAAAAGAAAGAAAGGGAAAGUUACUUCAAGGAUGUUUUUGAUUUUGUUUAAGCGUAUGACAGUGAAGGUUAGUUAGUGGAAUUACUCUGUGUCUAUUUAUGAUGUAUUUAAUUUUGACUGCUAUUUUUUUAUAUUAUUUUAGUUUUAGGUGUUAUUUCUGUCAUUUGCCCAAAAAAAAAAACUUACUAUUUUACUACAAUUCUUGUUGGUAAGAAUACAUUAUUUCUUUUUUUUUUUUAGGGCAAACAACAUAAAUUUCGAGAAUUUGGAGCUUAAUUACAGAAAAUUCUGAUAUUUUGCAUAAUUGUUGAAAAUCUCAAUUUUGGAUCUGUUGAGAUACAUUAUUAGCUUCUGAUACAAUCAAAAAGAUACAUUUUUAACUUUGUAUAGAUAUAUAAUUAGCUUCCGCUACAUAUUUUUUAAAUUUUGCGUUUGUUGAGAUAUAUAAUACAUCCAAUGAAGAUAUAUUUUUUUCUUUGUAAAGAUAUAUAAUUAGCUCCCAGUGCAGUUUUUUUAUUUUUGGGUCUGUCGAGAUACAUAAUAAGCUUUCGAUACAUCCAACGAAGAUAUAUAAUUAAUUGAGCUUUUUGUAGUUAUUUUGUAAGAGUGAAAAUUUUGUAUAAAUAUAAUAAGUUAAGAUGUAUAUUUAUACUAUUUUUCCAUAAUUUGCUUGCGAACCAAAUCGACCACUAAAGAAUUGAAAAGUUAAACAAUUUGUUCCCAAUACAGAACAAACUUUAGCCUAAAAUUUAAUGCUAAAAAUUACUACAAUGAGCUGAGUGGCUGAAAUGGUGCCACUUAAGAAUAAUUUGGUGGAUGAAAUGAAUGAAUUGUUUUGGAGUACAAAUUUUGAUUUAGACAAUCUAUUGAAAUUUAUUAUAGUACUGUUUAUAUUUAGGGGCCAUUUUUCAGGAUCUAUGAAAAAUUUAUAAUGUUGAGUAGAACAUACUAUAAAAGUAAUGUUGGAUAGAGCAUAUCACACAUUAGCACAAUCCUAAUCAAUAAUGAUAGCUAUUCAUCUCUAGUUCACUUUUAUAGUUAAUCAAAGAAUUAUUAACAACGAAAAUUAAUUUUCUUGUUUUGGUUUUCUAUCAUUGAAUCAGCAAUAGUUUGAUAUAAGAACUAUUCAGAACAGACUAAAUUAAAGAGAAAGAUGGAAUACCGUCAAUGAAAAUAAUAGGAUAUGAUAUCUUCAAAGAUAAAGAAGGCAGUGAACUUUUUACACAUAUAAUACGUAUAAUUAUUAAAGAAUAUAAAAGAAAUUAAAAAAAGGACAUACAGUACAUAUAUAAACUGGAAAAGAAGAUCAAUAAUGUAAAAGUUUGAUGUUAACACUGUUCCUUAAUUAAAAUUUCCAUAAUGAUUAUACUCGCUAUUUUCUUUCAUUUGCACAAAUCAAUAUGCUCCUUUCCCCCCUUUUUUUCUCCUGAUCACUCCUUAAAGAACGAGACAUAUAGCAUACAUAGAGAAGAGAGUACUUUGUCUCCCUCAAUAAAUACCUUGAGAAAAAAAUGUAACUCAUUAGUAGUUUCUUGAUUUUGUAAAAUUUUCUUUAUUUAAAAAAGAGUAACAUUGGAAGAAGGUCAUUAGUAUCUUUUUUAUUAUCUAAAACAACAUUUAUUAUCUUUUUUAUUAUCUAAAACAACAUUUAUUAGGAGCAAAAUAAAAAAGCUAAACAACCACUUAUUAGAAACAGAGGGAGUACUAAUUAUCUGAUAGUGUUUUCAGUGUUACGCAUCAUGAACUAAAAGCUUAAUUUAAGAAGCAUUGACUGCUUAAUGAAAUCUUUUAAUUCACAAUGAUAAUAAGGAAAUCCAAUUUGUGUUGUAUCAUUCUAGCCUUUCCAUUUUUUAUGGAGACAAAGCAUUAAUAGACAAAUGGAGAUUGGACAUAUCAAGAUUUCAGUCUCAUCCUGUCAAAUCAUUAAUUGUAAAACCUUCAUGUAUUUCUAUGUUCAGCCUAAGAUAUUAAGGGGUUAAUAUUCUUUCAAAACAUGGAGAGUUUCUGAUAUUGGGAGACAUGGUUGUUUGUCGAAUAUAUUUAUUUCUCAAUAAUUGAAAUAUAUAAUUGUAUUUGAUGUGAAGAAAGUAUUAGUUAAAAUGCAGUUUGGUUCAUUUUGGCUAGGGAUUCCAUCCUUUCCAUGUAUAAAAGUUUUUGAAUGUAAGGAUGAGAAAUCAAGGUAUCUGCUACACUUUUUUUAUAUAUACGUGUAGCGCAUGUAUCGAGAAAUUAGUAAAAGAAAAAAAAAAUUCCUCAGCUAAUUCUCAAUCAACACCAACUCCAUCUUAGGAAAGUGUGGUUGGUUCUGUUCUUCCUCGAAUUCAAUGAAUUUUUGUCAUAUUGUCAUACAUAUAACGAAUAAUAUAUAUAUNNNNNNNNNNNNNNNNNNNNNNNNNNNNNNNNNNNNNNNNNNNNNNNNNNNNNNNNNNNNNNNNNNNNNNNNNNNNNNNNNNNNNNNNNNNNNNNNNNNNNNNNNNNNNNNNNNNNNNNNNNNNNNNNNNNNNNNNNNNNNNNNNNNNNNNNNNNNNNNNNNNNNNNNNNNNNNNNNNUAUGCCUCUUUUCCUCUUUAAAUUUUAAAGUAAUAAUUAAGAAGAAAAAAGAAGAAGAUACUAUUCAAUAAUUUAAUUCUGAUACCAUCAACAUGGAAGACUCCAUUUGCUUCAUCUAACAAUGGACUUUGGCAUUAUAUAAUUAACAAAACAAUUAAUUAUUAGGAUAACUUAAUCACCGACAAAGGUUUCUUACUAUUAUCCUUAUGAGAUUCCACUAGUUAAGCUAAAUAUUUUUAAUCGACGUAAGAGUUAUGAAUGUAUAAACAAGUAGAUCUUAGCUACAUUGACCUAGUCAAUCAUUAUUAUUACCGACAUAUUUAUGCUAUACAAAUAUUUGUCCUAAUGCUAUCUUUUAUUUAUUUUUUUAAUGGAAAAGGGUCAAAAAGAUUCCUGAAUUAUUCGAAGUGGAGCAAAAAUAUCCCUCAUUAGUUUUUUGUCUCAAAAGUAUCCCUCUCUAAUGAAAUAACACCAAGCAUGUCAUGUAGACAAAAUACGUCACUUGAACAGUUCACGUCAGAUCGACCAUCUUUAUUAAAGGUGAAUGCUCCAUUAAAUGAGAGAUUUUCCAUGUGGAUAUUGGCGCCUAGCGUGGACUGUUCAAGUGGCGCUUUUUGUCCACGGACAUACUUAGUAUCAUUCUGUUAGAGAGAUGAAUAGUUUUGAGCCAAAAAUUUAAUGGAGGAAUAGUUGUAAGCAAAAAAAUUAACGAAAGAUAUUUUUACUUUAUUUCAAAUAAUUUAGGAAUAUUUUUAAUCGUUUUUUGCUUUUUUAUGAUUUCUAAGUUGCUUAUAAUUUUUUUAUUACUACAUGAUUAACAAUAUUUUUUUAUUUCCAUAAAUAACAGAGAGUAAACUAAGUUGCACCUUAAUGGUCGAAAAGUAUUCACUAUUUUUUUUAGACUUAAAGAGGUGAUUCUGAUACAUGUCUUAUGAACAAUCAUUACAAAUUUUAUUAUUUUAAAUUUUGUUUUAGAUAAGUCUAUGAUUAAGUUGUUGGUGACCAAUUUAUUCAAUUGAGUGAGGCUGGCAUGUCCAAAGAUUUUAGGACGAAGAAACGGGUUAUUAUGUUAAUUAGGUAGAUUUAUUUUAGGGAGAAAUAAGACAUAUGCUUUAAUUUGUAAAUAUUAAUAAGUAUUUUUCCAUUUAAGCAUAGCUUCUUUUAAAUUUAAAUUAGUAAUCAAACAGUGUUUAGUAGUAUUUUCUACCUUGUUGGCUUUGUCACACAUUUGAGAGAUGCUAAAAAUGUGUAUUAAAAAAAAAAUAAGAUGGAAAGAGAAGCAUACUGGCUCAAAGGUAAAGCCGCUAAAACGUGCUUUAAGGUUCAAAAAUAGUAUUUUUAUUAUAUAAUUAGUCUCUCCUAUGUUUUACAGUUUAUAGUCUAUAUGCAAUAAAUCAAAUUCUAUUAUAUAAUUUUUUAUAUAAAAAUAAAAGUUUCUUUAAAGUUAUUAAAGGAUGUCCAUUUGUUGUAAUAAAAUACAUUGAUUUUGGUUCUCAGAAUCCUAUUGGUACAUAAUAAACUUUGGCUAUUUUAAUUCAAAGUUUUAAAAUAUCAAAUACAAUUCUAUAAUCUUUAACUAAAAAUUUAAAAAUAAGAUUAUUAAACUUCCGAUGAUAUGAUUGUAUAAGAAAAUAAUAAACAUUUUAAAAUGUUAUUGUAACUUUAUAUAAUACAUGUAACAGUAUUUUUCUAGUGAUUAUAAGAAGAAUUUUAUUGAAAAAUCAAACGUAAUUGUAACUUGCGGUAUUGAAAGUAAAAUUUGAUGGCGAGGAAAAUAUGAGUCCAUUCUUAUGUCAUUAAAAUUUAUAAACCUUUUUAUUAAGAUGACUUGAAAAUGGUAUUUAACUAUAUAUAAUUUAUAAUUUUUUAAUUAUCAUAAAUAAAAUAUUUCAUUUUCGUGAUAUUUUAGUUUGGAUUGCUUUCUAUCUAUCAUUAAUGACAAAAUACAUCGUCAGACCCCUUAAAUUGACACCAUUUUUCACUUUGGCAUCUUAAGUGGACAUUGUUCACCUUUGGCAGUUCAAAUAACCAUAAAGUGUAUCAUUUUGACAUCUUUCGACAUCAAUAAAAGUGUGUGUUACACUCACUGUCAACGUGGAUAAAACGGCCAACUGAUUUAUGCCAAUUCAUUUAAAUUGCCACAUCAUUAUUUAUAUUCACAAUUAGUUUUAAAAAAAAUAAAAUCAAAACAUAUGGCAAUUAAUGACAUAAUUAUCUAACUCAUUAAUAUAUAUACAAAAUUAAAUUAAAAGAAUCAAUUAAUUACUGACACGUGACAUUUUUCAAAAUAAUUAUAAAAUUAUUUAUUUUAUUUGGACAACCCUCCACCCACCUCCCACCCCCAAACUCCAAAGUCAUCUUCUCUACCACCAUCUAUCCCCCCGAUACCCCCCACCCUAAAUCAUCUUCUCUAUUUGGCAACACCCCUCUUCCCGUCAUGUUCUCCAUCUCCCUCCCCCCCCACCACCCCCAACCCCUGCCUGAGUCAUCUUAUCCUCUCCAUUUGCCCCUUUGAAAAGAUGAACACUCAAUCAAAGAUUAUAGUAUAUAUGUAUAUCAAAGACCUUGAUUAGUCAUAGCUUGACCUCAAAAAUUAGAAGGCAUUAAAUGACUGUUUUUUUUCUUAACAAAAAAUAAAAAAGAAAUGAUUGACCUUGAAAUAUAUUCAUCAGUAGUAUGUGUGAACCUAUUCUUUGGCAACGCAGUGGUCUUCUUACUACUUCAGUUGCAGUCAUAACAUGUUGACAAAGAUGGUGAUUGCUCAACAACAAAUCACUCGUUGUUGUUAGUGUGUUAGUGUGUUUCGUUAUUCUUGAAAAGUUCAACCUCCAUUAAUGGAAGUUAAGCUAAAGAAAGGUUGUGUGAAGAAGGCAAUGUGAGGAAAUUUUUUGUAAUUAUUUGGUCAAUAAAACAUGUGCCAUUAAUUUAUUGGAUCAAUUUUUACUGAUUUGGCAAUAGAGAUUUUCAAUAGUUUUAAAAAAAAUUUAAAGAUGAAAAAUUACAAAAAUAUCCCUAAAAAUUUAUGAAAAUACUCUUCAAACGCUCCAAAAAGUGAGCAACGUCCACUUGAAGUGCCAAAAUGAAAGAUAGCACCAAGUUGAGGACCGACAAUAUAUUCUUUCUUCAUUAAUUAGUGCAUGUACUACUCCUGUACUCCAUUGGUUUUGAUUUUUUCUUGUUCCUGCACAUUAUUUCUCCUUUUUUACUGUCUAUAUAGUACUAUUUUUUAACUUAGUAUGUUGAAAUUAAUUAUUUUUUAUUUGCAUAUGAAAAAGAAAUACUUAACUAGAUUGAUUCUUAUUCGUAUAUAAAAAGUUAAAAUAGUGAAAUUCAAGAAAAAUAUAUGAAUUUUAUAUUUGGCUUUAGAUGGCUAAUUAUAUUAAGCCGCCCUUGAAGGGACGGUGAAUUGUAAUAUUUUUUGUGGUUGACUAUGAGGCGAGCUAUAAUAUGAAAUCAAAUAAGUAACAUAGUAUAAUUAUGUGCUAAGUAAUGUGUCAUAUGAUAUUUUUCAAUUGAUUUGAAUUCAGUGUGAAUUAUAGUUAGUCCUUCCUUUUGGAUUUUUGUUAAACUGAAAUUUUCAUUUUUAUUACAUAGAGAGAGAAGUUAUAAAAAGGAUGAUUACAACGUGUUGUAACUUUUCAGGACGAAGAACAACAAGUCAUUGUUUUAUUAAAGAGGGAUUGUCCCUUGUCCAUAUCAGCUUUCAAGAAAAUAACAGAACAAAUGUUGAAUCUACUACUAUGAGAAAUUCAUCAUUUGUUUUGUUGGAGUUAGCCAAUGUCUGCUUUCUCCUUCCUAAUCCUAAAAUUAGCCAAACCAACUUUAUCCAACCUAUAAGUCCUUUAUAUUCAUCAUUAAGCUCUUGAAAUUGUUGUUGAGUACAAUGUUGAGGGUGUACUUAAUUUCUAAUCAUACAAUAGCGGUCUUUUUCACUCUUUGUAGUUGAUAUAUUGCCUCACCAAACACUAUUUUCCUCUCUUCGCUCUUUUUAAAUACACAAUAAAUGAAUUAGGAAGUUACAAUGCUUGUUAAGAAUAGCAUAGAGCUUUGGAGAAUGUUUGGACAGGAUGUACAGUUUCUUUUCCUAGAAGGCAUAUAUAGUCUUUGUGUGCUUGAUGUCUUGAAAAAGGAUAGAGAAAGACAAUCCAUACUACAUGAAAAAUAUUGAAUUGAGACAUAAUAUUUAUCAAUGGACAAGUCUGGCAUAGAGUUUAAACGGAUUUGUGAUAGAAUUAACUAAUUUAUAGUGUUGAUUUUAAUUUUUUCAAAAAUAAAUCAUAAAAUAGAUUGCCUAGCUUGACGUGUUAUGUGAUAUUAUGCAUAGAUUAAGUCCAUUGGAGGUUGUCUGAUUAGAGAAUCGGACAAUGCUUAGCAUGGGAAUUUCAUUGAAUAUGGAGCUAAGUGAGACUUUAAUCUCUCAUUUACUUGCUUUUUCAAAAGCAUUAUUUAAAACUGAGAAAUCGCUUCAAACUACUCCUCCACCCCAUUUUAGUUGGGCACAUUCUAUUUUAUACGGUGAUUAAGAAUCAUAAAUUGAAUGAUAAAUUUUACGAUCUUACCCUUUACUCAUAUUAAUGUUAUUCGUUGGGCAUAAGAAUGAACAUUGAAAUUGAAAUUGUUAACAUUUAAUAUAUACUAAAAAUUGUAGGGGAAAAAUAAAAAAAUAAUUAAUUUUAUCCUAAUUUAGUAAGUGGUCUUUUUUGGUGGGCUGAAACGCAUUAAAAAGAAAUAGCGGAGUAUUACAGUAGCACCUGGAUUAACCAGGAUCUACAAAAUUUGAGUUUGAGCUUAUGCCCUCUAAUGAAACAUUACAACACCUUGUUUGCCUAAUGAAACUAGUUCCUAGGAUGUCAGCCCAGGUAGCUUUGCAGCAUACAUUGGAGGAAUUACAAAAGAGUUUCUCUGUCCACAAACUUUCAGUCUUGCUCCUUCCUUAGCUAAUGCAUCCUUCACCAUAUUCUGCUCUUUAUAGCAGUGCUGGAUUUGUGGUCGUCCCAGACUCCUGAUUAGCAACCUGCAUCCAUUAAUUAUGGCAUUAUAGUGGAGGUUUCCCUCUUUGAGCAUAAUAAUAACCUUUUUCGAGUCUACAUUGAUGUCCACGGGAACUAAGGACAUUUCCUCCAUAAUUUUUAGUCCCUUUAGUUGAGCAAAGAGCUCCAUCUGGUUAUUAGUAAUCACAGGGAAAACUUUUUUGAAACCUGUAGUCCAAUUCCCUUCAUUGUCUCUAAUAACCCCUCCAAUACCACCCCUACCAGGAUUUCCCAAACAUGAGCCAUCAGUGUUAAGUUUAAAUCUUUCUUUAGAGGUUGGUUCCCACUUAACACUAAUGUUCAAUAAUCUAUUUGUCACGACCUGAAUCAAGGUCUGGCCGUGAUGGGCAUCCCUAGCCAACCAAGGUCGGAGAUGACCCCUAACCUUACCUCAAGAGCACAUCAGUAAAAACAAACAACAAAAUCCAACCAAGAUAAAAAGAGAAACAUAUGAUUCCAAAAGAAAGUUAAGAGUCAAAACCAACUCCAUAAUAAUAUCCCGACACUGCCUACAAAAGUCUCUAAUCCAAAAAUACCAACUAAGUCAAGACAUGUCCCCGACUAUAACAAAAGAAAUUCAAAAGUUCUGAAAUGAUAAAUGUAACUAAGAAAGAGGCCAAGUCUUUUGAUAGUUCAUAAGUUGGUUGAACUUGUGUUGAACUUAUUGUGGAUUAAAUACAAAUUUUGUACCCAGAAUAACAAUCUUAAGGAAUUUAUUAAUAAUUUUAAUUUUUGAGUUUCUAGAGAUUAAAACUUUUUGCUUUCUACGCUGUUUGAACUUUAUAGUGAUUUGAAGUUAUAAAAACUUCAUCACGGGUUAAUGUUCAUUCAGUUGAUGAUUAGAAGAACAUAAAAGCUUCAACAUUAAACUAGAAAUAAGUUGUUUAAAGUUUUUAAAACUUUAUUCUUAGUAUUUUGACUUACUAAAUUGGUUGUCUUUUUGUCACAGUAAAAAUGAUUAUUGAAAAUCAAGUUAAUGAUGGAAUGGUCAAUGUCACAACAACAAAUAUUGCUACUUAAAAUCGUUCAAAUGCUGCUCCGCCAAGGCACUGACAGAAAAAUCAGAAAGUUUUCUAGUGUGGAUUUUAAAAGAUGGCAGCAGAAGUUGUUCUUUUAUCUGACUACAUUAAAUCUACAAAGGUUCAUCACUGAAAGCAUUUCAGAGUUUUCGAAAGAAAUAUCCAAAAAUAUACUUUAUUACUACAAAAGCUUGAAAGCACUUGAAUUUUUUAUAUAAGAACUACAUACUGAGUGGCUACAACAUGGCAUGUACAAUGUGUACAGCAAUAUGAAGACCUCUAAGGAACUAUGGGUAGCUUUGGAAAAGAAGUACAACAUAGAGAAUGCAUGAAUGAAGAAAUUUAUUAUUGCAAGAUUUGUAGAUUUUAGGUGGUAGACAGUAAUACUGUAGUUACCCAAGUUCAAGAACCGCAAGUCAUCAUUCAUGAUCUCCUCACCAAAGGUAUAAAUUUGUUCUUGAUACUUACAUAGUCUCUGAUGUAGGCUUAAUUGUGAACGAGGCUUAUCAAGUAGCUGCUAUAAUCGAGAAGUUACCACAUUUGUGGAAAGACUUCAAAAACUACUUAAAGCACAAGCACAAGGAGAUGUCUUUCGAAGACCUUAUUGUGAGGUUAAGAAUCGAAGAGGACAAUAAAGCAUCAGAAAAGAGGUCUCGAUGGAAUUUACAAUAAGUAGAGAAAAUAUUGUGGAAGACGACCCCCAAUAAAUUAAAGAGAGAAAGGAAGCGUCAGGACAAUAAGGCAAUCCUCCUAAGAAGAAAUUCAAAGAAAAUUAUUUUAACUGUGACAAAGUUGGCCACAAGUCUUCAGAUUGUCAGGCUCCUAAGAAGGACAAGAAAAGAGGAUCAAGCUAACAUGGUUGAAUCCAAGAUGAUGUGGAGAUCUAUGUGCUAUGCUUUUGGAGUGCAUGUUGGUUGAAAAUCCUAGAGAGUAGUGGAUUAAUUCAGGUGCCACUAGCCACAAUGUGCCAACAAAAAAUUAUUUCCAUUAUAUUUUCUGGCUCAGGCUAAUGAGAACAUAUUCACGGUAACUCUGUUACGGUAAAGAUUGAAGGAAAAUGCAAGAUUUACUUGAAGAUGACAUUGGGCAAGGUGGUGACACUAAACAACGUCCUUUAUGUUUCAAAGUUGCGAAAGAACUUAGUUUCUACUUCACUUCUAACUAAAAAUAGAUUCAAAUAAGAAUUUGUUUCUGACAAAGCUGUAAUUAGUAAGCAAGAAGUGUAUGUAGGUAAAGGUUACUUCAUCGAGGAUUUUUUUAAGAUCAGUGUAAUAAAUGUUGAAAUCAAUAAAAAUUCUGUUUCUUCUUACUUACUUGAGUUAAAUGAAUUAUGGCAUGAACAUUUAGGACAUAUUAAUUACAAAACUUUGCAAAAACUGAUUAAUUUAAAAAUUUUGCCUAACUUUGAGUGUAAUAAAUCAAAUUGUCAAACAUGUGUGGAAUCUAAGUAUGCUAAGCAUCUAUAUAAGUCUGUUGAAAGGAAUUUCAAUCCCUUAGACUUAAUCCACACAAAUAUUUAUGCUAUGAAGUCAAUACCAUCUCAUGGUGAGAAAAAGUAUUUCAUAACUUUUAUUAAUGAUUGCGCUAGAUAUUGUUAUUUUUAUUUGCUAAAUGAUAAGAAUAAAGUAAUAGACGUAUUUUGGUAAUAUAAAACUAAAGUUGAAAACCAGUUGGAUAAAAAGAUCAAAAUAAUAAGAAGUAAUAGGAGUAGAGAGUAUGUAUCUUCUUUUGCAGGGGUAUGUUAGAAAAAAGGAAUUAUCCAUCAAACUAAUUUCCCGUAUUCACCUCAAUCAAAUGGGAUUGUGAAAAGAAAAAUUGAAUGUUAAAGAAAAUAAUAAUUGUCUUACUCAUAAGUUCAGAUAUACCGCAAAACUUGUGGGGGGAAGUUAUCCUUACAGCAAAUCGAAUACUCAAUAGAGUUCCCUAUAAGAAGACACACUCUAUCCUAUAUGAAAAUGAAAAGGAAGGAAACCCAACUUGAAAUAUUUCAAAGUGUGGGAUUGUCUAGCUAAAGUCCAAGUCUAUAUACCUAAAAGGAUAAAAAUAGGACCAAAGAUUGUGGAUUGUGUGUUCAUCGUAUAUGCUACAAGGAGUAAAGCAUUUCAAUAUUUGGUUCAUAAAUUCGAACCAUGAAAAUACGAUAAUCUGAAUCAGAUAAUAUUAAGUUCUUUGAAUACAUUUAUCCGUAUAAAAUUGGACAUGAGAUGUCUAGUGGAGGAUCUAAACAACCUCGAGAUGAACCAAAGGAGAAUGUACUUAAUAAUGAGAAUCAAGGUGUAGUACACGUCAAAUACCGUCAAUUUUCUUUGGAUAAGAUUUUGUAACAUUUCUUCUUGAAAAUGAGCCUUAAAAAUUGAAAGAAACGAUGUCGUCUUCAGACCCAUCCUUUUGGAAAGAGGCAAUCAAUGGUGAUAUAGAUUCAAUCUUGAGCAACCAUACUUAGGAAUUGAUUGAUCUUUCUCCGGUAAAUAAACCUUUAGGUUCUAAAUGGAUCUUCAAAAGGAAAAUAAAAGCUAGUGGUACUUUUGACAAUUAUAAGACAAGACUUGUUGUGAAAGAUUUUAGACAAAAAGAAGGCCUUUAUUAUUUCGAUACAUACUCGCCAAUAACAAGGAUAACGUUCAUUCAGAUGUUGGUUGCGUUGACGACAGUAUAUGAUGUUGAAAUUCAUCAAAUGGAUGUGAAUACAACGUUCUUAAAUAGAGAAUUGAAGGGAGAAAUUUACAUAAAACAACCUAAGGGUUUUGUAGUUUCUGGUAAAGAAAAGAAAUUGUGCAAACUUGUUAAAACACUUUAUGGAUUAAAACAAGCACCCAAAUAGUGGUAUAUAAAAUUUGACCAAACCAUGUUGGCAAACGAUUUCAGGAUAAACGAAUGUGAUAAAUGUGUUUACAUUAAAGACACUCCAAAUCACAAAGUCAUUAUUUGUUUGUAUGUGGAUGACAUGUUGACCAUCAGUAGAGACAUUCUAACAUAAAUGCUAUGAAAUAAAUGCCUGAGGGCAAGUUUGAUUUGAAAGACCUUAGAGUUGCUGACGUAAUCUUAGGGAUAAGAAUUUUUAGAACUCCAUAGGUAUUGGCGUUGUCACAGUCGCAUUACAUUGAAAAGGUGUUUGACAAGUUCAAGCAUUUAGAUUUCAAUAUUGUUGAGACUACAUUAGACAUGAGUUUUGCAUUUCAAAAGAAUGAAGGUGAAAGUAACUCACAGUUGGACUAUGCAAGAGUGUUGAAAAGUUUGGUGUAUAUAUCAUAAAUUGUACGUGAGAAGACAUAGAAUGCACUAUUAGUAAAUUAAGUCGGUAAAAGACUACUCCUAAUCAAACUCAUUGGAUGGAUAUGAAAAAAGUUUUAGGGUAUCUAAAACAUACCCAAGACUAUGUUUUUAUUAUAACAAAUAUCCAGCGUAGAUGAGGUGACUUUUCAAAAUAAUGUAAUUUUUCGUGAACCAUUACUUUCUUUCUGAAGCACCACAUUGUGGCUAUAAAUGCCUGAAUUUUUCCUCUGAUAAAGGUAUGAAGAUUUGAAGGGAAAAACAUUUUCUUUUUCUUCUUAAAACUCUGGUAUGAUCUUCAAACUAUUGAGUGAGUUCGUUGUUCAGAAAAUUUGAGGUACCACUAUUUUUUGAAGAGAAUCAUUUUUCGUAGGGAGGAUAUAUUCCUUUAACCUCGAGUACUUGACUAGAAUAAUUUUUUUAAGGAUACAUCGUGAAUUCAGUGGAUUUGACUCAAUCGUUUCUGUCUUCAUCCCAUUUUCUUAAAGUUGGUUUUAUUAUUUUUCCAGAAAAAUAGUUUGAACAUUAUAUUGAUAGUUCUUCAUUUGUUUGAACUUGUGUUUGAAGUUUUUGAAACUUCAUUUUGAUAGGUUAUAAGUUGUUGAACUUGUGUUGAAGUUAUUGUGGAUUAAAUACAGAUUUUGUACAAAAAAUAAUACGAAAUAGCUGUGAAACCUUGGGGAGCGACCAACUAAAAGAAUUUGCACCGAAGUCGAUCCGAAAUCACUUUCAAAGUAAUGGCUUACCACGACACAAUAUUUUCAGUUCCAUAUUAAUAUUAGAGUAAUUUUUCCAACAAGUGGCAAAGUUUGUUAUUUAACUACAAAAUUUGUUCGUCAACAAAUCCUUGUUUUUCUUUUGUUGGGUAGUAUAUUUUGGUUUUAUCUAAUCAAUCUAUUGACAAGCUAAGCGCCUACGAAAACGAUGUAGAUGUUCUACCUACGGGGGCGGGGGGGUGUCUAUUACAAUUACAAAAAUAAACUGAAUGUUGAGUUUCAGUUCCACUAACACCUUGCAAAAGUGAAUUACCCAUGAAAGAUGGGGGUAUUAUAUCAAAAAAAAAAAACAUAUCUUUUGUUGUUUUCUAAUUUCUAACGAUAUAUUUUUGAUCCAUUGCUUUCCCAUAGUAUGCUAACUUGACAGCCACUUUUUUUUGCUUUUCUAUAUACGUGGAACACUUUUUUUUUCGUCAAAAUGCGAAUCAUAAUUUAAUCCGUCAAUUUUUACUAAAUUGUAAUUGUCUUUUUUUUUUUAUAAACAGAGAUAGCAGGUAACCCAAGAAAAAAAAAUGUCUAGCAGAACAUAUUACGCAUCCUCGAAACUACUAUGACCUAUAAAACUAGAUGAUAAAAAAAUUGGUUUUAUCAUACUGGCACACUUGUAGAUGUUCCAUAAUUCAUGUAAAUUUACUUCAGAUGAAUUGUAGUUUUUGUGUUCAAAUUCAUAUAAAAACGAAAUGAUUUAAGUUUCGUUCUUUGAAUAUCGCCAUACAGAAAUAAAAUAGAACAAGGGGAGUACUUUUCUAGGUCUCUAUUUGAUAUUUUAUCAGUAACAAUUUGAAAAUAGUCAUAACUCAUACACGUAGUAGUAGGUGGAAAUGUUUCUGAUUGAAUUCGGCAUAAAAAUAUUUUUAUGGAAAAAAAGUUUCUUCUAGUUUUGGUUUAUAAGUGGAUCAAUUUUUGUGGAAAAAAAGUUUCUGCUAGUUUUGGUUUCUAAGUGGAUCAUUCCCUAGCGCUCUACUAAAUGAUUUAAUUUUAUAUAAAGAAGAUGAAAUUAUAAGAAAAAAGAGAAAAAAGAAAAAGACUAGAGAUCUAAAGAAGGGAAAACUUAAAGUAUGUGGUAAUAACUUCUUUUAUUCAUCACAUAAUCUCUGCAUUUUGCAAGGAGAUUGAAACUGAGCAAACAUACACAAAGACAUAAAAGUAAAAAUACAAAUAUAAAUAGAGUACAAACAAUAUCACUAAUAACUUAGAGAACAUGAAGCUACAAAAGAACUUCGCCUCCCGUGGGGCUUAUUGUUUACUCUUUUUUCUUCUUUUUGGCAUUGCCUCUCGAAAUGGAAAAUGCCUUUCCUUGAGCUCAACAUUCUGCUUUUCCUGCAUAAGAAUAUAAUAUUGUCAAUGAGAACAUAUAGUAACUGAUUAAUAAACCUAAUAAGUAGGAGAUAGCAUAGGCUUAUAUAUUAAUGCGUUUGCAUGAAGAAAUUGUGCAACUUGUAUUGAUUUGCAUUUAGACAAAUCAUUUUUAAGAAUUUUAGUUUGGCUUAAUUACCUUAGAUUUGAUGUUGUUGUUUCUUAGUGAUGGUAGGGAGGAGGUGGAGACUUGUAAACCGGAGUUGGUGGUGGUGGAGACUUGUAUACUGGUGCAGGAUGGUGUGGUGUUGGUGAAGGAUGGUAUGGAUUCACUGGUGGUGGUGACUUGUAAACGGGUGUUGGUGGUGGUGGAGAUUUGUAUACUGGUGCAGGGUGGUAUGACUUCACUGGUGGUGGUGGUGACUGGUAAACGGGUGUUGGUGGUGGUGGAGACUUAUAAACUGGUGCAGGAUGAUAUGGCUUCACUGGUGAUGGUGGUGACUUGUAAACGGGUGUUGGUGGUGGUGGAGACUUAUAAAUUGGUGUGGGAUGAUAUGGUGUUGGUGGAGGAUAGUAUGGCCUCUUAGGUGGUGGUGGUGACUUGUAAACUGGAGUUGGUGGUGGUGGCGACUUGUACACUGGAGUGUGUGGCGGGUAGUAUGGCUUUUUGGGUGGUGGUGGGGACUUGUAAACUGGAGUUGGGGGUGGUGGAGACUUGUAAACUGGGGUGUGUGGAGGGUAGUGUGGUGGUGACUUGUAAACUGGAGUCGGGGGUGGUGGAGACUUGUAAACUGGGGUGUGUGGAGGAUAAUGUGGCUUCUUUGGUGGUGGUGGGGACUUGUAAACUGGAGUGUGUGGAGGAUAGUGUGGCUUCUUCGGUGGUGGUGGUGACUUGUAAACAGGAGUUGGUGGUGGUGGCGACUUGUGAACUGGUGCGGGAUGAUAAGGUGUUGGUGAAGGGUGGUAUGGCUUCUUAGGUGGUGGUGGAGAUUUGUAAACAGGAUGAUGAUGGUGUGGUGGAGGGGACUUAUAUACUGGGUGGUGAUG